CAUUAAUUUGAGAGUUUGAUCCUGGCUCAGGACGAACGCUGGCGGCGUGCCUAAUACAUGCAAGUCGAACGAACUCUGGUAUUGAUUGGUGCUUGCAUCAUGAUUUACAUUUGAGUGAGUGGCGAACUGGUGAGUAACACGUGGGAAACCUGCCCAGAAGCGGGGGAUAACACCUGGAAACAGAUGCUAAUACCGCAUAACAACUUGGACCGCAUGGUCCGAGUUUGAAAGAUGGCUUCGGCUAUCACUUUUGGAUGGUCCCGCGGCGUAUUAGCUAGAUGGUGAGGUAACGGCUCACCAUGGCAAUGAUACGUAGCCGACCUGAGAGGGUAAUCGGCCACAUUGGGACUGAGACACGGCCCAAACUCCUACGGGAGGCAGCAGUAGGGAAUCUUCCACAAUGGACGAAAGUCUGAUGGAGCAACGCCGCGUGAGUGAAGAAGGGUUUCGGCUCGUAAAACUCUGUUGUUAAAGAAGAACAUAUCUGAGAGUAACUGUUCAGGUAUUGACGGUAUUUAACCAGAAAGCCACGGCUAACUACGUGCCAGCAGCCGCGGUAAUACGUAGGUGGCAAGCGUUGUCCGGAUUUAUUGGGCGUAAAGCGAGCGCAGGCGGUUUUUUAAGUCUGAUGUGAAAGCCUUCGGCUCAACCGAAGAAGUGCAUCGGAAACUGGGAAACUUGAGUGCAGAAGAGGACAGUGGAACUCCAUGUGUAGCGGUGAAAUGCGUAGAUAUAUGGAAGAACACCAGUGGCGAAGGCGGCUGUCUGGUCUGUAACUGACGCUGAGGCUCGAAAGUAUGGGUAGCAAACAGGAUUAGAUACCCUGGUAGUCCAUACCGUAAACGAUGAAUGCUAAGUGUUGGAGGGUUUCCGCCCUUCAGUGCUGCAGCUAACGCAUUAAGCAUUCCGCCUGGGGAGUACGGCCGCAAGGCUGAAACUCAAAGGAAUUGACGGGGGCCCGCACAAGCGGUGGAGCAUGUGGUUUAAUUCGAAGCUACGCGAAGAACCUUACCAGGUCUUGACAUACUAUGCAAAUCUAAGAGAUUAGACGUUCCCUUCGGGGACAUGGAUACAGGUGGUGCAUGGUUGUCGUCAGCUCGUGUCGUGAGAUGUUGGGUUAAGUCCCGCAACGAGCGCAACCCUUAUUAUCAGUUGCCAGCAUUAAGUUGGGCACUCUGGUGAGACUGCCGGUGACAAACCGGAGGAAGGUGGGGAUGACGUCAAAUCAUCAUGCCCCUUAUGACCUGGGCUACACACGUGCUACAAUGGAUGGUACAACGAGUUGCGAACUCGCGAGAGUAAGCUAAUCUCUUAAAGCCAUUCUCAGUUCGGAUUGUAGGCUGCAACUCGCCUACAUGAAGUCGGAAUCGCUAGUAAUCGCGGAUCAGCAUGCCGCGGUGAAUACGUUCCCGGGCCUUGUACACACCGCCCGUCACACCAUGAGAGUUUGUAACACCCAAAGUCGGUGGGGUAACCUUUUAGGAACCAGCCGCCUAAGGUGGGACAGAUGAUUAGGGUGAAGUCGUAACAAGGUAGCCGUAGGAGAACCUGCGGCUGGAUCACCUCCUUUC
RNAcentral lists this ribosomal RNA (1571 nucleotides) under Lactiplantibacillus plantarum 16. RNAcentral describes it as "Lactobacillus plantarum 16 16S ribosomal RNA". It matches the Rfam family "Bacterial small subunit ribosomal RNA". Lineage: Bacteria; Bacillati; Bacillota; Bacilli; Lactobacillales; Lactobacillaceae. The record is from RNAcentral.